This 531-nucleotide long non-coding RNA is filed under the name Anas platyrhynchos platyrhynchos (common mallard). RNAcentral describes it as "lncRNA (ENSAPLG00000029691.1)". The record is from RNAcentral. Lineage: Eukaryota; Metazoa; Chordata; Aves; Anseriformes; Anatidae.
CAUUAGAAUUGUUAUUGUAUUCCUAUGAGCCAACCUAUGGCUUAUUAGGGCAAGAAACUGUGCAUCUUCUGUUCCUAUGGAUAAAUGCCUCUAUUGUUUCCUUAGUGAUCUACAAAGUACCAGCCUGUGAGCACAGAUGUUCACCUUGCAUCUCUUAAUGUUUCUUAAAUUUAUCUUUCUGCAAAGUUUUACAGUUCUAACCUCGGCCACCUCUUAAAUAUUUGAUUACAUAAAAUAAGAAUAGGGCGAAUCAGGCUUCUUAAAACAUUGGAGUUGGAGUAUGUCCCACAUACAUACAGCAUGUAUCUCUUUUUUUGUUUUUGUCCCCCAGUUGCUGCCUCCAGGGUACCAGCUAUCCUUAUCACUGCUCCCAUGGCAACAAGUCUCUGCUCCAGAGGGGAAGUGAUGUUUUUAAAUCUAUACAAGUUGGAAGCCAAAUGAUUGGAAGCAGCUAGAGCUGUAGAGAAGGACACUGGGAUCCUGGUGUUGAACAUGAGUCAACAGUGUGCACACCAAAAGUAAUUAAACUCC